Amborella trichopoda is the source of this 5081-nucleotide RNA transcript. It is a transcript of the gene named AP-5 complex subunit beta-like protein, with no coding region annotated. The record is from RefSeq and is a predicted model, not a curated record. NCBI's taxonomy places the organism in Eukaryota, Viridiplantae, Streptophyta, Magnoliopsida, Amborellales, Amborellaceae.
UCCGUUCCCAGUUUGAUAUCGUGGUAGAUUAUUGCACAGUGUACGACAAGUUGCACAAUUAAGAACGUAAGAGAUGGAGGUCUUGAAUCAUGGAAGAGUGUGACUGCAUCAGCCCAGACCCAACCUUGGAUUUGUCUUCCUUUCUCUGCAAACUAUAUACAUAUAUAUAUAUGGAAAAGUAAAAAGCGAAAACAUGGGAGCAGUCAGUUUUUUUGCAGAGCUCACUUUUCUCUCUACAUGGCCAUGGGCAUGGAGAAAUCCCCAAACUUAGGUGAGUUUAAAGGCUUGUACGUUUUUGCAGCUAUUUACCCAGGAACAUGAUGAAUUUAGCGGUUGAAUCUGUAGAUUUGAACCCACUAAAAAUGAAAUACAAAAAACCCUAGAUUUGAUAACUCGCAGAAGCUGGUUUCUCUUUGAGAGGGGCGAAAGGUUUUGAUAUUGCAAAUUAGGGUUUUUUUUUUUUCUUUUUUUUUUUUUUGUUGUUUUGAUUGAGCUUGGAUUGAGAUGGAAAAGCUGGGAAGGCAGCUUUCUGUUCAGGAUUGGGAGACAAUCAUGGAGGAUUUUCAGUCAGGGCCUGUUAAACAAGAGAAAUGGUUGGCUCUGUAUCCUCGUCUUACCAUUCUUGAACUUGCUUUGUUCAAUGUAUUGAAGAAGGAUUUCUUGCUUAAAUCGCAUCUGGUUGUGUUUAUGGAAGAAUUCUCUGAAAUUUUGAUCCCAGAAGCUGACGUAGACGAGGGUUUGGGCAGUGUCCUAGAAGCUUUAAGAGCUCUAGUUCAAGCUCCAGUUGAUGGAGUCUCUGUAACAUAUGCUUUGAAGGAGCAAAUGAUGGUCUCUGCAACUUCAGUGGUAAUUGUAGCUGAUGGCCUUCACAAAUCAUCACGUCGGUUGGGAGCUUUAGCUGAGCUUUUGCUCACUGUGAUUAAUAGGCCUAGUUAUGGGGUUGAUAGGCAAACAAGAGGGGUUGCUUGUGAGUGUUUGAGAGAGCUUGAGAGGGCUUAUCCAUGCCUAUUUUAUGAGCUUUCAGGCCAUUUUUGGGCCUUAUGCCAAAGUGAGAGAACCCAUUGUGCACAAAACUACAUUCUCUUGUUGACCCAUCUGGUUCAUGACAUUGUUUGUUUGAUGGGGAAUAAUUCUCGAUCAAAACCCAAUUCACCUUCUCCUCUGUCUCUUGCUUCUUCCCUUCUCUCUAUUACAAACCCAAUUGUCCCUUUCAAUGUACCAAGCUUUUUGGUGGCUUCAAUCCCCGGAGAAGAAUCAAAUUCAAUACCUUUCAGAGAGCUAUCAUCUUUGAAUAUAAAGGAGCUUCGAAGGGUCAUGGCUUUCCUUUUGGAGAGGCCUCAGAUUUUGACUCCUAGUGCAAUGCUUGAAUUUGUGUCAAUGCUUAUACAUGUUGCAGUGGCUCUAGAGCUUCAGGUCUCUCUAUUGAAGGUGCAGUUCUUUGGCCUUCUUUACUCCUAUAACCCUCUCCUAUGGCAUGUUGUUCUUAUGCUGUAUUCGCAUUUCUCAGAUGCUUUUGAUGGUGAAGAGAAAGAAAUCGCCCGGCGUCUCGUUCUUAUAUCGAAAGAAGUACCCGAACAACUUGUUUUCCGCCUUCUCGUGGUUCAUUGGCUUUUGGGUCUCGAGGUUUUGUCUCUGGAGAGGGAGAGGAGUCACACUGUGGUUCCAAUGGCCUAUAGUUUUUACCCUCCUGUUUUUGAUCCAUUGGCUCUGAAAGCUCUAAAAUUGGAUGUGCUUGCCUACUGUGCGAUAUGUGUUGAAGCUUCUCUCUCUAGCGUGAAGAGAGGGGAUCAACAACCUGGUUUGGAGGAUCAAGGUUCUUCAAUGAAAGAGGAGCUAGGAAUUUCUGGAAGGAAAAUGUUUGAAGCUGGUCUUAUAUGCGUCUCGUCAUUUAAGUGGUUGCCACCAGGGAGCACUGAAACCAUGGUAGCAUUUCGUAUGUUCCAUAAGUUUUUAAUAGGAGCUGCAUCCCAGGAAGCAAUUAAUUCAUCUGAUACCAUGGCUUCGACAUCAUGCACGAGCUUUUGUACAUUACAGGACAUGCUAGUGAACACAACAUUAGAGUCUCGUAGAUUGGUUCCUGUUAUUGUGGGUUUCAUUGAUCGGUUAAUGACGUGCAAUUCACAUCGGUGGUUGGGAGAAUGCCUGCUUCAAAAAUUUGAUGAGCAAUUACUCCCGAAGCUUGUUUCGGAUUAUCAGUUGACAUCUUACUUCCCUAUCUUUAAUAGAAUUGCGGAGAAUGUUACUAUUCCUCCCCGCGGUUUACUGGAGUUGCUUGCCAAGUUUCUUGUGACUCUUGUGGAGAACCAUGGUCCAGAAAAUGGUCUAAAAUCGUGGUCAAAGGGAAGUAAAGUGUUAGGUAUAUGCAGGACUAUACUCAUGUAUCACCAUAGUUCAAGGAUUUUCCUUCCCCUCUCUCAUCUCCUGAAUUUCGCUUGCCAGUAUUUCCCUGACUUGGAGGUCCGCGACAAUGCAAGGAUCUACUUGAGGAUGCUCUUAUGCAUCCCAGGAAAGAAGCUUAGGCAUGUACUGAACCUAGGACAACAGCUUCCUGGUGACUCCUCUUCUCCAAACCUCUCCACAUUCUUCCAAACGCCAUCUCCUCGACCGCCUCGGGAUACAAGGAGUGGCCAUAAGCCGUCUUCAUACAUUGAUCUCAAUCGUGUGGUUCCACUUAUUGUCAAGCAGUCUUGGUCCUUGGCUAUAUCAAAUUUGGGAAUAGAAGACAAGCAGCCUGGGUAUGGUGAUGCUUAUGGGGUUGAGCCUUCCUUUAGAGCCACUGAGAUUGAAGAUGGGUCAGAUGCACUGGCCCAUGAAGAGCCUAAGAUAACUACCGGAACAUCAGAGGAGCCUUUGAGAGUGAUGGAUGCAAAGAUUGCGGAGAUCUUGGGAAUCCUUAGGAGACAUUUCGCAUCAAUUCCUGACUAUCGACAUAUGCCAGGCCAUAAAAUCGAAGUACCAUGUACACUGAGAUUUGAUGCUUCUUCUUUUAGUGACAAAUGGGAACCCGAAUCGCCAAAUAUGGAAGCUAAAGUAACUAAGGAAUUACCUGCUCUAUAUGCCAUAGUGAUCAGCUUUUCAUCUUCUUCAAAUUAUGGUCUAAUCCCAUCAGUCCACAUACCUUUUCUUCUUGGACAAGCUCCUAGCAAUGAGCAUGUUUCCCCAGAUGAAGCUUCCACUGAUAUGGGACAUGAAGGUGAAAUGAUUCCUUUAGAAAGGUUGUUCAGUAUUGAAGGAAAUGGUUUUGAAGAGGCAGAAAUAAGUGAAGAAGAAGCCCUGACAGGGUCAGUGAUAAUUGAACUGGAGCCUCGAGAGCCAGUUCCUGGCUUGGUGAAUGUUUCCAUUGAGGCAAACAUAGAGAAUGGGCAAACAAUUCAUGGUCUGCUUCAAAGUAUCACAGUGGGUAUUGAGGACAUGUUUCUCAGGUCUCCUGUUCCUUCUGAUGUUCCUGUAGAUGCAAUUCCUAAGUAUCACUAUGAUCUGUUUCAUGCUCUUUGGGAGGCAUGUGGUAACUCUAGUAACACAGGUCGGGAAACAUUCUUCUUGAAAGGGGGCAAAGGUGUUGCAGCAGUCAAUGGGACGAGAUCAAUUAAGCUUUUAGAAGUUUCAUUUGAACAUGUGGUUGGAGCCAUCGAGCGUUAUUUGGCUUCCUUUGUUGUUGGCGUGACUGGUGAGCCUAUUGUGAGUAGCAUAAAGGAUAACAGCACUUUUAAGGGUAUUAUUGUCCCUGAGGAUGAGUUGGAGAGUACAAGCAGCAGUGUGGCCACGGGUUUUCCAUAUGGUGAUAGUGGUCCCCUUCAGCUCAAGUAUUUUCCAGACGAAACUGAUUCAGAGAUUAAUUAUUCUGGAUUUGGUAGGAGACACCUUGGUUAUUUUCUUGUUUUGAUAUUCCUGCCCCCUAGAUUUCAUCUCCUCCUUCAGAUGGAGGUUUGCAAUUUUUCAACAUUAGUUCGUAUCAGAACCGAUCAUUGGCCAUGUCUUGCUUAUAUGGAUGAAUAUUUGGAAGCUUUAACUGCGACCUGAGAUGGUGCUUUUCUUCCAUGAAAAAUUUUUCAUGGUAUCUGCGGCCUGUUACUUUUUGGCAUGAUUUAUGUCAGCAUUGGCUCCUCUAUCACCUUCUUUACUCGGGGAAGGCCAUGUGGCAGAACAUUCACUCUCAGGCCUGAUAGCCUCAAAGAAGGGAGGUGUGCCUAGUAGUCGCUCAAGGAAAGAGGAAUCACAGGUCCAAGUCGAAUUGCGUGUUGAGCGUACUCAGAUUAAAAACUAAGGAUACUGCAUGUUGAGCGUACUCAGAUUAAAAACUAAGGAUGUGGCUCUCGCUCAUGAUAUCGAUGAAGUACAUCUAUGGCUCAGCCAAAAAAGCUCUCGCUACCACUCAAACAGAAGCUCCUCUUGCUCUCCAAUUCCUAGGUGAACUUUUCCAUAUCCGUCUUGGGGUUGAUGCCUAUUCAAAACUCAAAACUCAAGCUCCUAAGUUCUGAAACCUUCCAAACCUUCUGACAGGAUCCUCCCACCUAGCAUCAUGUGAGAAAGUGGCUUGCAUUAGGCCUAGUUAAAAACUCAAGCUACUCAGCUACAAGGUCAGGAAGCCACGGAAGGAAGGCGAGCAAGCCGGUAUGGAAAACCUAGCACAACGUUUAUGCAAAGUUCUUGGAAUCUCAUGUACCUUUCCUUAGGACUCCUUAUAAAAGGAACUGCCAAAGUCUCUAGUAUUUUCUCAGAUUUUUUUCCUGUUAUUUUGAAGGUGAGUUAAAAAGCCAUAAGAUCAGCCUAAACUUGGCAAGAUUGUAUAGGAAAUUCUGUCAAAAUUGUUGGCAAGAUUGGAAGAUUAAACCUGGCAAGAUUGUUGGCAAGAUUGGAAGGUUAACUUGUAUUAUCUUCAAACAAGCAUGAUGGUAUAUACAGUGUUAACACUGAAGGAAACUCACCAUUUAUAUACGCAAAGGAAUCAGCAAGAAAGGAAAAGGAGGGUUGAAAGUGCAGACAAGCAGGGCCAACUCCUGGAGUUGUUGGUGGGCGAACAACAGUGAGGCUACGUGAUGAGAAAUUGCUCAACCACAAAAGCCAAAUUUGAGCUGCCAUCC